RNAcentral lists this ribosomal RNA (483 nucleotides) under uncultured bacterium. RNAcentral's name for it is "partial 16S ribosomal RNA". It matches the Rfam family "Bacterial small subunit ribosomal RNA", at positions 29 to 507 of the family's 1533-position model. The record is from RNAcentral.
AUUGAACGCUGGCGGCAUGCUUUACACAUGCAAGUCGAACGGCAGCGCGGGCUUCGGCCUGGCGGCGAGUGGCGAACGGGUGAGUAAUACAUCGGAACGUGCCCAGUAGUGGGGGAUAGCUCGGCGAAAGCCGGAUUAAUACCGCAUACGACCUGAGGGUGAAAGCGGGGGAUCUUCGGACCUCGCGCUAUUGGAGCGGCCGAUGGCAGAUUAGCUAGUUGUGGGGUAAAGGCCUACCAAGGCGACGAUCUGUAGCUGGUCUGAGAGGACGACCAGCCACACUGGGACUGAGACACGGCCCAGACUCCUACGGGAGGCAGCAGUGGGGAAUUUUGGACAAUGGGCGAAAGCCUGAUCCAGCAAUGCCGCGUGUGUGAUGAAGGCCUUCGGGUUGUAAAGCACUUUUGGCGGGAACGAAAAGGACUGUGCCAAUACCACGGUUCGAUGACGGUACCCGCAGAAUAAGCACCGGCUAACUACGUG